Ictidomys tridecemlineatus (thirteen-lined ground squirrel) is the source of this 992-nucleotide non-coding RNA. The record is from RefSeq and is a predicted model, not a curated record. NCBI's taxonomy places the organism in Eukaryota, Metazoa, Chordata, Mammalia, Rodentia, Sciuridae.
CUGCCAUUCUUCCUUUCCCGUGCAUUUUUUUUUUCCUCUGAAAUCUGCCAGCUCUUGCAAGCCGCUUAGACCAGGCCCCUCGGGUUCACAAGCCUGAGUGGGGGAGAUCAGCUCCAUGUUGGCCCUCCUCUCUUACCUUCUCAACUGUGACUUCAUUGGUCUGUAGUUCAACAAUCAAGGAUUUUGAAUCUAAAAAAAAAAAAAAAUCAUUCUAGCCAGUGGUAAAAUUUGACGACAGACAACAACUGGGGUGAAGUUUGAGCAGCUGAUUCUCCACAGACAGCAAUGGGAAGAGCCCUGAAUUUUCGCAUCUGACGGUUUCAGUGGUUCAAACAUUACCACCAUGGCUGGAUUCGAGCCUCCAGCUGGAUGUCAUUAAACACGAAGUUGAGAAGAGAUGUGAACAGCUGGCACAGGGAAGGCUGGCUCCACCGUACCUCUGCUAUCUGUCCCCAAAGCCUCUAGAAACACAAGGCUCAUGGAGCCUAGAAUCUGAAAUGCCUACCUAGUUGAGACCCCUUCUCCCAGCUCUAAACAUCUAAAGCCCCAAAGCCACCACCCCAUCCCAGUCUACUUCUCUGUAACCUUACCAUCCCCAACCCCUCACCCCCUCUAGCACUUCUGGAUGCAGACUCAGUCCUUUCAAAGUGUACACUUCCAACGUGUGUCGCUGCAGAGGGAGAAAUGAGAUGGGGGGAUGGAGGGGACACUUAUCUCCCUGUCAACAUGUAGGACAGGUGGGUCUGCAUGUCAGUUUGGUCUCUUUCAGCCUGUUUGGUGUCUGUCGAGGCUCCUAGAACACCCUCCAGAUCAUUCUACAAGUGUGUCCUGUUCUUUGGAGCAACACAGAGCACAUCUGGCCAGCCUGUUGGUCCAGGAGCGUGAGAGACACGUGGAACAGAGCUGCCACAUGGAACUGAGCCCAGCCACAUCAGCCAACCCCAGCCGGCCCAACAUGCAGAUCUAUGAUAAUACACAGUUGUUGGUUAAGA